UACAGAGGUCCCGAGCGUUGUUCGGAUUCACUGGGCGUAAAGGGUGCGUAGGUGGCCUAAAAAAGUUUGAUGUGAAAGCUCAGGGCUUAACCCUGAAAUGGCAUUGAAUACUGUUGGGCUGGAGGUUUGGAGGGGGGACUGGAAUUCUUGGUGUAGCAGUGAAAUGCGUAGAUAUCAAGAGGAACACCAGUGGCGAAGGCGAGUCCCUGGACAACACCUGACACUGAGGCACGAAAGCUAGGGGAGCAAACAGG
This 254-nucleotide ribosomal RNA is filed under the name uncultured bacterium. Its description in RNAcentral is "partial 16S ribosomal RNA". It matches the Rfam family "Bacterial small subunit ribosomal RNA", at positions 524 to 776 of the family's 1533-position model. The record is from RNAcentral.